AAUUCGAUAAGCUCCCAAGUGGUUGUGUCAUCUAACUAGUUUAACAUGCCACCUUGGUUCGAAUGGGUGUACCUUCGUCAGCAGUGAUACUGGGACGUUGCUUAUAUAAAAAGCUAUAAUGGUAGGGUCGUUGUUUAGCGUUCUACCAUCUAGCUUGAGGUAAUCUAAAUUACCUUAUUUUUUUGCUUUUAAUUCAUUUAAAAAUCCUAAUCUCAUGAGAUCUAUGUUAACAAUUGGAUCGGGGCUUAGCAUACAAUUGAUAUAAACUUGAACACAUCUAUACGGGAAACAGUUUUUACAUGAUUUUGGUAGUAGUCUAUUUCAAGAGAUCAUCUAAAAAAGAAUCUUCAACCACAAGUUACAUAGAGAGAUCAUUUUAAACAACGUCAAUUUAUAUGAAUCCUCACGCAUUAAGUGACACCUGCACGUCAGUCA
Molecule: long non-coding RNA, 435 nt
Organism: Arabidopsis thaliana (thale cress)
Lineage: Eukaryota; Viridiplantae; Streptophyta; Magnoliopsida; Brassicales; Brassicaceae
Product: other RNA
Exons: 1
Source: RefSeq